UUUUUUUUCUUCUUCUCUCUAUACGUUGGUGUUCUAACCAAAAAUCACCGAUGCGAUAUUUUGUCCGAUCAAUUCGGGAACCAACUAACGAAUGCCAAAGUGCUGUCUAAAUAAGACUAUACUUUGUGAAUUUCGUUAAGGUUCUGAUCUCGUGACCAUCGUAAGGUUUGAUGUGGUUUUACACUAAUACGUAUUCCACUCUGUUAAACUAAAUGUUUAACUAUCAGAAAACUCUGGUCCAUAAACCUACUAUCAAACAAGAUGUAUAACCAUCAGAAGACUUAGAAUCAAGAUGCUUGUUUAAUCAAGACUAUAUGCUAACAAGUGAUUAUGUCUUUGCUAAUCUUUAAUUACUGACAGUAAGUGGGGGUAUGUGCGCAUUACUACUAAUGAUUUAUCACUUUAGGUGAGCGAGCCUAAUUAGUGAUAUGUCCACAGUCAUAGAUCCGGUCGAGUGACAAUUGAACCAGCUAAUUAUAAGAUAGGGGCAAAUGUAAAAACUCUUAAUGCUGUGAAUUAUAACAAAUGUGUUUGUGUACAAAAUGAAUGAACUCACCAGUAUUUUCUGCUGCCAAAUGUUUUUAAAACGCGUUUCAGGUGAUUACAGUAGAUUGGAAUAAGAGUGAUGAUACGGCACCGAAAGGCUUAAAGAAGUGGCUUAUUUUAUCAAUUAAAUUAAAUUAAGAAAACGUUGUUUCAUAUAUUCGGGUUUAUCCCAUAUUAAAGCUACCUUUGUAAAACAUGGGUUUAUUCCCAUCUGUUUAACAAAUAAAAUUCGGUGUUUCUAAACUCUGGUAUUUUCCUAACUCAUGGUCCUGAUAAAAUUUUCCGCUGCAAUAUUUUCAAAAUAAUCACCGGUACCACUUGACUGCUCGCAGCUCCCGUCCAGGGUGUGGUCGGGGGUCAUGACAUCAAGGAUAAGUGGUGCAAUAACAGGCAAACCAAACGGAACAGGGUCUGGCUCAGGAACAGGCUCUGGGACGUGAGGAGGUGUAGGGACUCGAGCAGGGGAUGACGGUGCAACAGACAUCGCAGUGUCGUCAUCUGAAUCAGUGGCAUGAAGCUGAAGUCCUGCAGCUCGCAGUGCUGAGGAAGUCACAAACUCAAAGGAGUCUAAAACUGAAUGCAAGCUAGAGUCGGAAGAGAUCUAAAUAACGGGUAUGACUAGAGGGGGUACAUCUAGCACAACAACGUCGUCAACCUCCCCAUCACCCUGUGCAUCAGCUGGGUGACCAUCCAAAAAUAGAUCGACAUCAACGUCAAAAAGGUCAUCAAAGGGCCAAUCCUCAGGGGGAAUGACCACUAGAGGAACUGGAUCAAGAAUGGGUGCAACAAUAUGCUCACCAUCGGGGUAACCGAUGAUGAGGUGGUCAUGGAUAGGAGCAGGGAAAUCAAAAAGAUCCUCAACAGGAAUGCCAUCAGCUAUAGGUGCGUCAUCGCCAAAAUCCGGUAAUGAGAAGGGCUGAAAGUCAUCCUCAUCGUCAGACAGCAUCUCUGGAUCACUCUCGGUGUCCGACGUGAAAAUCUCUUGCUCAGGCACGAUUUCAUCAUCUGAAACGAUGGCCAUAGGGUCGUGAGCAUCAGACAAUCCGCUCUCAGAGGAAGACAUGGGUGCCUGUAACAUAAUAAUUAUAACAUGUGCACAUAUGUUAACCACUAACACUCAGUGUAUGUAAACAAAGACAAUCAUCACUUAAUCAUGUAUUCACGUUA
Molecule: long non-coding RNA, 1713 nt
Filed under: Helianthus annuus (common sunflower)
Lineage: Eukaryota; Viridiplantae; Streptophyta; Magnoliopsida; Asterales; Asteraceae
Description: hypothetical non coding rna
Source: RNAcentral